This 163-nucleotide ribosomal RNA is filed under the name Amentotaxus argotaenia. RNAcentral describes it as "5.8S ribosomal RNA". It matches the Rfam family "5.8S ribosomal RNA". Rfam says of the family: 5.8S ribosomal RNA (5.8S rRNA) is a component of the large subunit of the eukaryotic ribosome. It is transcribed by RNA polymerase I as part of the 45S precursor that also contains 18S and 28S rRNA. Lineage: Eukaryota; Viridiplantae; Streptophyta; Pinopsida; Cupressales; Taxaceae. The record is from RNAcentral.
AACACGACUCUCGGCAACGGAUAUCUCGGCUCUCGCCACGAUGAAGAAUGUAGCGAAAUGCGAUACUUAGUGUGAAUUGCAGAAUCCCGUGAAUCAUCGAGUCUUUGAACGCAAGUUGCGCCCGAGGCUUCGGCCGAGGGCACGUCUGCUUGGGCGUCGCACU